This 492-nucleotide ribosomal RNA is filed under the name uncultured bacterium. RNAcentral's name for it is "partial 16S ribosomal RNA". It matches the Rfam family "Bacterial small subunit ribosomal RNA", at positions 28 to 507 of the family's 1533-position model. The record is from RNAcentral.
AUUGAACGCUGGCGGCAUGCUUUACACAUGCAAGUCGAACGGUAACAGGCCUUCGGGUGCUGACGAGUGGCGGACGGGCGGGUAAUUCAUCCGAACGUACCCAGAGGUGGGGGAUAACGCAGCGACAGCUGUGCUAAUACCGCAUGUGAUCUGAGGAUGAACGCGGUGGACGGAGCAGCAAUGUUUGGCCUCGCGGCUUUGGAGUGGCCGCUGUCGGAUUAGCUAGUGGGUGGGGUAAAGGCCUAGCAAGGGGACGAUCCGUAGCUGGUCUGAGUGGACGGUCAGCCGCACUGGGACUGGGCCAGCGCCCAGACUCCUACGGGAGGCAGCAGUGGGGAAUGUUGGACAGUGGGCGCGAGCCUUGUCCAGCAAUGCCGCGUGCGGGAAGGAGGCCUCCGGGUUGUAAUCCGCUUUUGGCAGGAACGAAACGGUGUCGGCUAAUACCGGGCGCUAAUGACGGUACCUGCAGAAUAAGCACCGGCUAACUACGUG